CGAGGUGUAGCGCAGCUGGUAGCGCGCCUGUUUUGGGAACAGGAUGCCGCAGGUUCAAGUCCUGUCACCUCGACCA
This 76-nucleotide transfer RNA is filed under the name Clostridiaceae bacterium. Its description in RNAcentral is "tRNA-Pro". It matches the Rfam family "tRNA". From Rfam's summary of the family: Transfer RNA (tRNA) molecules are approximately 80 nucleotides in length. Their secondary structure includes four short double-helical elements and three loops (D, anti-codon, and T loops). The record is from RNAcentral. Lineage: Bacteria; Bacillati; Bacillota; Clostridia; Eubacteriales; Clostridiaceae.